AGAGUUUGAUCCUGGCUCAGAGUGAACGCUGGCGGCGUGCCUAAUACAUGCAAGUCGAACGGACAAGUAAGAGCUUGCUCUUAUGAGUUAGUGGCGCACGGGUGAGUAAUGUAUAGUUAAUCUGCCCUACACUGGAGGACAACAGUUAGAAAUGACUGCUAAUACUCCAUACUCCUUCUUAACACAAGUUAAGUUGGGAAAGUUUUUUCGGUGUAGGAUGAGACUAUAUUGUAUCAGCUAGUUGGUGAGGUAAUGGCUCACCAAGGCUAUGACGCAUAACUGGUCUGAGAGGAUGAUCAGUCACACUGGAACUGAGACACGGUCCAGACUCCUACGGGAGGCAGCAGUAGGGAAUAUUGCUCAAUGGGGGAAACCCUGAAGCAGCAACGCCGCGUGGAGGAUGACACUUUUCGGAGCGUAAACUCCUUUUCUUAGGGAAGAAAUUUGACGGUACCUAAGGAAUAAGCACCGGCUAACUCCGUGCCAGCAGCCGCGGUAAUACGGAGGGUGCAAGCGUUACUCGGAAUCACUGGGCGUAAAGGACGCGUAGGCGGAUUAUCAAGUCUUUUGUGAAAUCUAAUGGCUUAACCAUUAAACUGCUUGAGAAACUGAUAAUCUAGAGUGAGGGAGAGGCAGAUGGAAUUGGUGGUGUAGGGGUAAAAUCCGUAGAGAUCACCAGGAAUACCCAUUGCGAAGGCGAUCUGCUAGAACUCAACUGACGCUAAUGCGUGAAAGCGUGGGGAGCAAACAGGAUUAGAUACCCUGGUAGUCCACGCCCUAAACGAUGUAUACUAGUUGUUGCUAUGCUAGUCAUGGCAGUAAUGCACCUAACGGAUUAAGUAUACCGCCUGGGGAGUACGGUCGCAAGAUUAAAACUCAAAGGAAUAGACGGGGACCCGCACAAGCGGUGGAGCAUGUGGUUUAAUUCGAAGAUACGCGAAGAACCUUACCUGGGCUUGAUAUCCUAAGAACCUUGUAGAGAUAUGAGGGUGCUAGCUUGCUAGAACUUAGUGACAGGUGCUGCACGGCUGUCGUCAGCUCGUGUCGUGAGAUGUUCGGUUAAGUCCGGCAACGAGCGCAACCCACGUAUUUAGUUGCUAACAGUUUGGCUGAGCACUCUAAAUAUACUGCCUUCGUAAGGAGGAGGAAGGUGUGGACGACGUCAAGUCAUCAUGGCCCUUAUGCCCAGGGCGACACACGUGCUACAAUGGCAUAUACAAUGAGACGCAAUAUCGCGAGAUGGAGCAAAUCUAUAAAAUAUGUCCCAGUUCGGAUUGUUCUCUGCAACUCGAGAGCAUGAAGCCGGAAUCGCUAGUAAUCGUAGAUCAGCCAUGCUACGGUGAAUACGUUCCCGGGUCUUGUACUCACCGCCCGUCACACCAUGGGAGUUGAUUUCACUCGAAGUCGGAAUGCUAAACUAGCUACCGCCCACAGUGGAAUCAGCGACUGGGGUGAAGUCGUAACAAGGUAACCGUAGGAGAACCUGCGGUUG
Molecule: ribosomal RNA, 1492 nt
Rfam family: Bacterial small subunit ribosomal RNA